This 253-nucleotide ribosomal RNA is filed under the name uncultured bacterium. RNAcentral's name for it is "partial 16S ribosomal RNA". It matches the Rfam family "Bacterial small subunit ribosomal RNA", at positions 524 to 776 of the family's 1533-position model. The record is from RNAcentral.
UACGUAGGGGGCGAGCGUUGUCCGGAGUUACUGGGCGUAAAGCGCACGCAGGCGGUCUGCUAAGUUUGGAGUGACAGUUGGUGGCUUAACUGCCAAAGUGCUUCGAAAACUGACAGACUUGAGGGCUUCAGAGGGACACGGAAUUCCGGGUGGAGUGGUGAAAUGCGUAGAGAUCCGGAGGAACACCAAAGGCGAAGGCAGUGUCCUGGGGAGUACCAGACGCUCAGGUGCGAAAGCCAGGGGAGCGAACGGG